RNAcentral lists this ribosomal RNA (138 nucleotides) under Staphylococcus pseudintermedius. RNAcentral's name for it is "partial 16S ribosomal RNA". It matches the Rfam family "Bacterial small subunit ribosomal RNA", at positions 1397 to 1533 of the family's 1533-position model. The record is from RNAcentral. Lineage: Bacteria; Bacillati; Bacillota; Bacilli; Caryophanales; Staphylococcaceae.
UCACACCACGAGAGAUUGUAACACCCGAAGCAGGUGGAUUAACCAUUUUGCAGCUAGCCGUCGAACGUGGGACAAAUGAUUGGGGUGAAGCCGUAACAAGGAUGCCGUAUCGGCAGGUGCGGCGGAAGCACCUCCUUG